CACGUAGGGGGCGAGCGUUGUCCGGAUUUAUUGGGCGUAAAGAGCUCGUAGGUGGUUCGGCAAGUCAGUUGUGAAAUCUCCGCGCUCAACGCGGAGGGGUCAGCUGAAACUGCUGUGACUUGAGUCUGGUAGGGGAGUGUGGAAUUCCCGGUGUAGCGGUGAAAUGCGCAGAUAUCGGGAGGAACACCAGUGGCGAAGGCGGCACUCUGGGCCAGUACUGACGCUGAGGAGCGAAAGCGUGGGGAGCGAACAGG
RNAcentral lists this ribosomal RNA (254 nucleotides) under uncultured bacterium. Its description in RNAcentral is "partial 16S ribosomal RNA". It matches the Rfam family "Bacterial small subunit ribosomal RNA", at positions 524 to 776 of the family's 1533-position model. The record is from RNAcentral.